CCUACGGGAGGCAGCAGUAGGGAAUAUUGCUCAAUGGGGGAAACCCUGAAGCAGCAACGCCGCGUGGAGGAUGAAGGUUUUCGGAUUGUAAACUCCUUUUGUUAGAGAAGAUAAUGACGGUAUCUAACGAAUAAGCACCGGCUAACUCCGGGCCAGCAGCCGCGGGAAUACGGAGGGUUCAAGCGUUACUCGGACUCACGGGGCGUAAAGAGCGCGUAGGCGGGAUAGCAAGUCAGAUGUGAAAUCCUAUGGCUUAACCAUAGAACUGCAUUUGAAACUGUUAUUCUAGAGUAUGGGAGAGGUAGGUGGAAUUCUUGGUGUAGGGGUAAAAUCCGUAGAGAUCAAGAGGAAUACUCAUUGCGAAGGCGACCUGCUAGAACAUAACUGACGCUGAUGCGCGAAAGCGUGGGGAGCAAACAGGAUUAGAUACCCGUGUAGUC
RNAcentral lists this ribosomal RNA (440 nucleotides) under uncultured bacterium. RNAcentral's name for it is "partial 16S ribosomal RNA". It matches the Rfam family "Bacterial small subunit ribosomal RNA", at positions 338 to 795 of the family's 1533-position model. The record is from RNAcentral.